Oryctolagus cuniculus (rabbit) is the source of this 5860-nucleotide non-coding RNA. Lineage: Eukaryota; Metazoa; Chordata; Mammalia; Lagomorpha; Leporidae. The record is from RefSeq and is a predicted model, not a curated record.
AAACUAGAAUUAGAAUCAGAGUUAGGAUUCAAACUAGAAUACUCCAAAAGGGAUAGGAGUGUCCCAACCAGCAGCCCAGCUGCUAGGCAAAAUGCCCACCCCAGGAACUCUAUUUUAUAGAAUCCAAUGCAAUGCAAAUAGUAUUUAUCGUCUAUUGUGUGCAGAUAUUCACAAGAAGUGUGUAAAGUAGAUAUUUAUAUGUCAUCUCUCAUUGUUACCAAACUAACAAAUUGAGCAUGAGUUUGAAUCUAAAGAUAGAAUUAUUCUCACAGAAAAUAUCUUGUAAUAUAAAAUGAGUAUACUACAAAGUUGCCAGUUUUUUCUUCCUCUCUAGCUUACUGAAUAUGUAGUUGUCCCGUAAUUUUAACUUGUUCAUAUAACUUAUGCAUAUAAUUCUAACUUAUGCAUAUAAUUAGGGUUGUUCCCUAAUUAUAACUUACGCAUAUAUAUAACAUCUGCAGGACUCUUAAAGAUUCUACUUCUUGAAUAACUUGUUAAAAGUGAAGUUUGAUACUGUUGUCAGAAUAUUCACCUUCGAAUGGGUAAAAUCUGUUUUAUGUGGAAAUAUAAUCUUUUACUAAACAUGUCCAUGAUCAUAGCAUAUGUCACGUGUUUUUUAAUAUUUAUUUAUUUAUUUGAAAGGCAGAGUACACAGAGAGAGAAAAAGAGGCAGAGAGAGAGGUCUUCCAUCUGCUGGUUCACUCUCCAAUUGGCCGUAAUGGCUGGAGCUGCAUUGAUCUGAAGCCAGGAGCUUCCUCCUGGUCUCCCACGCAGGUGCAGGGGCCCAAGAACUUGGGCUAUUUUAUACUGCUUUCCCAGGCCAUAGCAAAGAGCUGGAUCAGAAGUGGAGCAGCAAGGACUCAAAUUAGCACCCAUAUGGGAUCUGGCACUGCAGGGGGCAGCUUUACCUGCUACACCACAGCGCCAGCCCCCACACAUUGUUUUAUUUCCUAAUUGUAGUAUAUUCUUUUCAACAGGAGAACAAGUACCAAGGCUACAUCAUCAUUGUAUUUGUCCUAACUGCCAUUUAUUUAAUUGUGUGUUAUAUAGAUUAUUACCACCUCACCUGAUUUGUAGACAGACUUCAGGAUGUAGAAAUGCACUUGGGGUAACAAGAAUGUAGCUCCUACAAGGCAAAUGCAUGGCCCCAAGGUCAGCACGUUACCUGGUAUUUCAAAUAGCCUUGAGUGGUUGUAUUAUGCUCUUCUAUGCUCUUCCUAUACACGAAUUUACACUCAAAAUUUUAAGGGCUGUCCAAAUUCCUGGCCAAAUUUAAUUUAGAUUCUUGAAAAAUAAGAAAUGAAGAGAACUUUUGUGACCAAAGAAGUCAAAGGUCAGGUGUAUUUCCAGUGCUCUUUGUUCAUCAACUAAAUGGUAUUAAAGAACAGUCAGAGAAUGCCUUUACUUAGUGUAGGCCUCUGCUGACACCGUUCGCCUUUUGUUGUGAGGGUUUUUAUUUUGUUUCCCAAAAGUCUGAGCAGCUCUUAAGUCCCAGUUUCAGAGAGAAAGACAGAUGAAAAAGUUCAUCUUUUACACUGGAGAAAUACUUCAAAGGAAAACAUUCGAAGGUCAUGUCAGCCUGCUUUGUAACAUCUACUUGGACGGAAAUAAUUUGCUUUGUGGAGUUCUGUUCAUAAUGGCAUUAAGCCGUUUAAGGGCAGUUGGGUGGAUAGAUUCCCAUCCAUCUUCAUAACCCCAGUAAACAGUGAGCAAAUAUACAUUAAAGCAGGUUUUUUUAUAGGAUCUAUGUAGGCAUUGUGUCUUCCCUGUGUGGCGAUAUGAGAAAUUCAUCUUCUAAAGAAAUAAACACAUUUUAAUUCAACAUUCUUAAUAGAUAUGGUUUGUCUUUUUCAUUUUAGGGGGUAAAGAAAAUGACAUUCAUUAAGAGUUAGUAUUAGGAGAACUAUACAGGGAAAAAUAAUCAAAGGUCUUCUUUUUUUUCUCUUUCUUUCUUUCCUUUCUCUCUCUCUCUCUGUCUCUCUUCCUUCUUUCCUUCCUUCCUUCCUUCUUUUCUUCCUUUCCUCCGUCCCUCCCUUCUCUCUCUCUCUCUCUUACAGAGUUUCAGAGAGGGACACACACACACACACACACACACAGACACAGAUCUUCCAUUUGCUGCUUCACUCUUCAAAUGCCCACAACUAGGGCUGGACAAAGGUUAAUCCAGGAGCUAGGAACUUCCAGAUGGGACUCCCAAGUGAGUGGCAGGAACCCAAGUAUUCGAACCAUCAUCAGCUGCCACCUAGGCACAUUAGCUGGAUCUGGGCUGGAAAUGGGAGGGUCAGAACUCAAUCCCAGGCACUCUGAUUUGGGAAGUGAACAUCUCAGAAUGGUGGUCUAACCUGGUAUAUCACAACUCCACCCUGCAAAAGUCUUCUUGAACAAUCUGUGCAAUAGCUGAUUUUGAGCUUAGUGAAUCUGUCCUAAUUACUGGAGAUAAAAUGAUGAACAAAACCAUUUUUGGCACAAACAUGGAAGGUGCAGUUAAGUGGAGAUAGAAUUUUUGUUCUUCAAACAACUAUGGGCAUGCAAAAUGCAUUGAUGGAGAUUGUUAGGGGAAUUUGAGUAGUCUGGGGUUCCAUUAAAAUAGGGGUAUGGGUUUCUAUAAAGUCAAUACACUACUCGUAUCCCUGACUAAAUCCUUGCAACCUGCUGGCUUGCCAUUCACUCAGCGUGAUGGCUCCUCUGAGGUCUUGCUGGCAUACCAAGCACCAUAGCUUCCUGUAAAGUUGUUACUUGCAGUAGAAGUGUGUAGAAGAGAGUGAUAAUGAAACAUCAUUCUCUGGGUGUGUCUGUAGUAGAUUGUGACAUCACUAAGGGCAAGUAAAUGCUGUGUCUGAGUUUGAUUUGUGCUGCUGUAACAGAAUACCAGAGAGUGGACCAUUUAGCAUAAGCAGAAAUACAGGGUCACAGAUCUGGAGACAUGUAAGUCCAAUAACAAGGAAGCUACUUCUGAAAAAAGCAUUUUGAUGAGUUAUAACGUGGCAGAAGAGCUUUUGAAAUAUUAUCUGGUUCUUGAGAGGGACGUCACAUUCGCAGCUUUAUCAAGCACGACAUCUCCUCCAGCUUCUAACACUGCUCACAGAUGGCACUGCUCAACAGGACCUACUUUGUCAAACACGACAUUUACUUACGACCUUGCCGGAGGGUGGAUUAGAGGCUCCCUCCUAAGCUACACUGCUAUCGGUCAUUUUUUGCAGGAUUCCCAUUGAUAACUUAUUAGUCACACCACUUUGCUUCUCUGGAAGUCCCAACGAAACAGCUUAAAAUUUAAGCUUCAUAAACUCAUUUAAAUAAACAUUUCUGCUUUGAUUUCAUUUUUCAUUACAGUCAAGAAAGGGGUCCUUCUGGUAGUUUCUACGAACCAAGCAAAACACGCAGUUCUUUCUCAGCCUGUUGUGUGCGUGUUUACACACGUGUGUUUCCAUAAAUGGAGGGCUAUCAAGAAGUUCAUGGGGAAAUGGAAGGAAAAGACAUUUGCUUUGCUGUAAAAAUUUUGAAACCCGUGUGUGUUCUUUUUCAUAAUAUGGAAUUUUGAAGAUCCUUUAUGUGUCUAAUGCUAUGCCUCAAGUACUAGCUGUGAAUAUAUGUGAUUCAUAUAUUGGAUACAAAAAUGUUUGUAAUUAGAAAAUGAAGUGAAAAAAAACAGUGCAAAAACACAAAACAGUGCAAAAUUACUGUGUGUGUUUAACUAAAUGGAGAAAAAAAUAAUUUUCUGCAUUUUGUUAACAAUGGAAAUAUCAGCACUAGCUGUAGCAGGCACUCGAGAAGUGAACUAGUGGAGUGGAAGACUUCGUCCCCUCUGUUUUUCUUGCAAAAUAAAUACACAAAUGAAUAAUCCAAGAUUAUUUUAAUUUCCUUUUUAAACUUUUUAAUAAAGAUUUUUUUUAAUUUAUAGUUAGAUUUACAGAAAGAGAGAGAGAGAGAGAGAUCUUCCAUCUGCUGGUUCACUCCUGAAAUGGUUGCAACAGCCAAGGCUGGGCCAGGCAGAAGCCAGGAUCCAGGAGCUUCAUCCUGGUCUCUGGCAUGGGUAUAGGUGCACUUGGGCCAUCCUCUGCUGCUUUCCCAGGUGCAUUAGCAGGGAGCUGGAUCAGAAGUGGAGCAGUCAGGUUUUGAACUGGCACCCAUAUGGGAUGCUAGCAUCACAGGUGGAGCUUAACCUGUUCGUCCACAAUGCCUGCCCUUAUUUUAAUUUUCCAAUAAAUUUUUAAUGUUCUGUGCUGAAAGCUUCUUGGGAUGCCAAAGAUUUUCAGCUGGAUUUUGUGGGUGAGGCUUUCACCCCAAACUUACUAGGUGCUAAAUUCUGAUACCCAUGCCAUAGUUGAGACGUUCAGUUUUGUCUUUUUUUUUUUUAAUUUGUUUUAAUUUUUCACUGCCAAGCAUCAGACUCCAGCCUGUAGCGUGUCCAUUAAUUGUCUUCACCAGCCGCAGCCUGGCAGACUUCCUCUCACUGUCAUUCAGACAUGUGCUGUGUUCAACAAGCUCAGGCACUGCAAAUCCCUGCUGUUUGGGAUUAUGUGGACAUCUUAGCUGCUGGCCUAAAUAUCCGCGCUUUCAUUGAAGUUCCUGUUCAUCUUUAUCAAAAGGCGAAGGCUGCUUUUCAGGAAAUUUCAAAUCACCAUAGCCACAAAGCUUUUUUCUCCCAGGUGCUUAUUUUUUCCCCACAAAUAAAAGAAGCCAGAAAUAGAUUUCAGCCUUCUCAACUGGGAGCAGUUUGGGGAAAAGGCUCAAAACACAGCGUCCAUGUAAGAAUUGUAUUUUCAACAUUGAGCCACAGCUGUUCACAGACACCUGGGAGAUACCUGGAGAAGAAUCUUGCCUGGACCAAGGUCCCAGAGGUUCUGGGUAUUUAAAAGAUAAUCAUCACUCUUUACUGAGAUAUAAAGCAGAUGCUGAAAACCCACAAAAUCCAUAAGUCUUAUGGAAAAGAACUUGCCAAUAUAGGAUGCCAGUUUUGCAUGUUGUGAUUUAACUUGCUAUGUCACAACACUGGCUCCCAAUCUCACAAAUUUUUAAAAGAUGUAUAAUACUAUGCAAUAUUUUAUUGCUACAUAAAUAUAUGUUCAUGGAAAAUACACAUUUAUUUUGGUGCAAAAAAGUCAAUGUCCAUGCAAAUGAAUAGUUUUCCCACAAUAUGCACAAUAAACUUGACUCUUUAUUUUUGUGUGAAUUUGUUGAAAUACUCGUGUGUAUGAAAAGAAUUCAGAAAUAAUGGUUUAUGUUGAAGUUAUUUACAUGCUCAUUUGUCUAAUUCUGAACUUCCCUUUUAGCAAUAAGCUUAGUAAGGCAGGUAUCACUGAUGUUUGGUCAUCUGUAUGUAAUUACAAGGAUAUUUCAACAGUAAUUGAAGUUUCUACUAGAACAAAAACAAAUGGAAUACAUAUAUGCAAGAGCAAUUCAACAUUCAAACAUUUAAUGUGACCCAUCACAUCAAAAGAUUUAAAAAAUUACAAUAAAUCAACUGAUGUAGAAAAAAGCAUAUGACAAAAUCUCACACACAUCUGUGAUAAAAUUUCCCAGUAAACUAGGAAUACUUGGGAAUACCAUCAGAUUCAUAAUGGAUAUCUGCAAGAAGCCUACAAUGAUGAGAAAAAGGCGCUUCCCCAAUCAGGAAUAUUUCAAGGAUGUACAUUUUCAUGAUUUUUUUUAGUGUCAUACUGGAAAUACUAGCAAAUGCAAUAUUACGAGAAAAUGAAACCAAUGUAUGCAGAGCUGGAAGGAAGAAACAAAACUGUCUUUGUCCACAAAUGACAUAUCAUCUACAAAGAAAGCCUGAUAGAAUUGAUCGAAAAAGCUGGAACUAAUAAGUGAAUAUAUAGACAUUGUAAAAUACAAAGUUAAUAUAUUUUGUAUGUCAUUU